GGUGGAGGAACAAAUGGCGGUUUUUCAGCAACGCACUAACACAAUACACGUACAUAGUUGCGAGUCAUAAAAAUUAAUAGGAUUUUGAUAAUGGACCGCACAAACACUUACCACACGAUAAACACUUAACACUCGACAAACGAUAUUUACUCAAGAAUGAAUAACUAUUUUACAUAUUAAAGAAAAACUUGUUCAGAACCGUAGCACGUGUCGCGACAUUUCGAUGCGUAAGAAACCACCUGAACAGCGGAACAGAGGAGGGGUAUGAUAUAUGCGAACAUAGUGGCAAACUAAUGAAGCGCCACUAGUUGACGAUUUUGUUGUACUAAUGCACGCUUUACGAACACCCAUAGAUCAUCGCAUUAUUCUAACGAGUAGCAAAGAGCAGGUACAAGAGGCACUACGGGCGGUACUGUCGAUGUUCGACAAACUGUCACUUUAAAUUGUUUGUAUAGACGCGCGGGAAAUUUAAAUCAAAUAAAUAUAAUUUAUUGGCAACCUCUAAUAAUUCGAAAUCUAUUUGUCGUGAAUUUUCUGUAUAUUAUGAAUGUUGGCUUUCGAAGUAUUUAUAUCGAUUAUAUAAUGUUGAAAAGUGUAAAGAGAAUUUGAACGGUUGAAAAGAAUAGUUGACGAACUAUUUAUUACGAGAAAAUACGGAUGAGUGUAUUAGAGGAAACGGACGAGGUAUUUGUUACAAAUAAAUUACUGGUGAAUGUGUUAUAGGUCAAGAAGCAGUUAGAGGUAUCUUAAAUCGCAUCUAGGGAGUUGACUUCUGUUCUCGUGGGGAAACCGGAAAUGCCUAGAGGCUGCGAAUCGAGCAGGAAGCAUCCUAAUCACCGGACGAACGAACUUUUCACUGAUUAAUGCUAUAAUCGUGCUAAUUAGCUCUGCGUCUAGUAAGAAAGCUCAACUAUAAAUAUAUGGGGAACCACAGCAGCAGAGAUCAACUAUACAACGAUCGUCUACACAAGAUUUUCCGAAAAGCGCGAACCGGAAAAUGGCUCGUAACCGCGAGUAACUUGGAGGUCGUGGAAGAGGAAGACGAAGAGAACGAAGAGGAACAGAAGAUCGGUGGUUAAGCCGCUUUUUGCUAAGUGGAUGAGAAGCCAGGAGAACCGACCCGGUGAACCGAGGUCCCCGAGAACAGAACGGUACCCUGUGCCCUCUUCCUCCUCCUCCUCUUCCUUCUUAUCCCUCCUCCUCACAGAGUUCCUUCUUCUCCCGUCAUGCAGGCUACCGAGGACGAGGAGUCCGGUAGUGCCUUCAGGCUCUUUUCCGUAAAUUCCUGCUUACGUGUUUUUGACGUACUAUACCAUACAUGCGUGCCACUUGCAUCGGUUACGUCUGCAUCUACCGUUCCUUUCGAGAAUUCGAACAUAACCGAGUCUCCAUUACCUUUACGAUGGGCUACCUAACCUUACUUGGUUACAUCUUUUAUUUUCUAAUUUGCUUCUGGGCUGAAAAUACUUGGGACUUGUGGUGAUUAAACGUAACUUGGAUAAAUAGCUUAUUUAUCAAAUUUAAAAAUUUAAAAUAGUAA
Long non-coding RNA from Megachile rotundata (alfalfa leafcutting bee), 1540 nucleotides. RefSeq lists it as uncharacterized. Lineage: Eukaryota; Metazoa; Arthropoda; Insecta; Hymenoptera; Megachilidae. The record is from RefSeq and is a predicted model, not a curated record.